GUUGGCUUAGAAGCAGCCAUACAUUAAAAGAGUGCGUAAUAGCUCACUGGUCGAGUGACUCUGCGCCGAAAAUUCAACGGGGCUAAACAGUAUACCGAAGCUUAGGAUUGUGUCUUAUGACACAGUGGUAGGAGAGCGUUGUGUAAGGGGUGAAGUCAGAGCGGAAGCGCUGGUGGACUUUACAGAAGUGAGAAUGCCGGAAUGAGUAGCGAGAAUUAUGUGAGAAUCAUAAUGGCCGAAAAUCUAAGGUUUCCUGAGGAAGGUUCGUCCGCUCAGGGUAAGCCGGGAGCUAAGGUGAGGCUUAAAUGCGUAGCCGAUGCACAUACGGUUGAAAUUCCGUAGCCGUCGAAACUUAAAUGCAGGGACGCUUUGAAAGGACUUGAGCCGGGCGAUGGUUGACCCGGUCGAAAGGGACCGAAAAUUAGUAGGGAAGCAAGUCUGGACGAAGACAAGAAAAGCUGCAUGGUAUGCUAAGGCGCCCGUACCGCAAACCGACACAGGUAGAUAGGAAGAGGAUUCUAAGGCCAACGGGAGAAGGGUUGUUAAGGAACUCGGCAAGUUGACCCCGUAACUUCGGAAUAAGGGGUGCCUGCGAGAGCAGGUCGCAGAGAAUAGGCCCAGGCAACUGUUUAUCAAAAACACAGGUCUCUGCUAAAUCGAAAGAUGACGUAUAGGGGCUGACACCUGCCCGGUGCCGGAAGGUUAAGAGGAGAUGUGAGAGCAUUGAAUUGAAGCCCCGGUAAACGGCGGCCGUAACUAUAACGGUCCUAAGGUAGCGAAAUUCCUUGUCAGGUAAGUUCUGACCCGCACGAAUGGCGUAACGAUUUGGGCACUGUCUCAACAGCCCGCCCGGCGAAAUUGUAGUACCGGUGAAGAUGCCGGUUACCCGCGACUAGACGGAAAGACCCCAUGGAGCUUUACUGUAGCCUAAUAUUGGAUUUCGGUAUUUCAUGUACAGGAUAGGUGGGAGACUAGGAAGCAUUGGCGUCAGCUGAUGUGGAGUCGACCUUGGGAUACCACUCUUGGAGUGCUGGAAUUCUAACCUGCGGCUUUGAAUCAAGUCGGGGGACAUUGUUAGGUGGGCAGUUUGACUGGGGCGGUCGCCUCCUAAACAGUAACGGAGGCGCUCAAAGGUUCGCUCAGCAUGGAUGGAAACCAUGCAUCAGAGUGUAAACGCAAAAGCGAGCCUAACUGCGAGAAUGACGGUUCGAGCAGUAACGAAAGUUGGAGUUAGUGA
This 1237-nucleotide ribosomal RNA is filed under the name human gut metagenome. RNAcentral describes it as "bacterial LSU rRNA". It matches the Rfam family "Bacterial large subunit ribosomal RNA", at positions 1100 to 2418 of the family's 2925-position model. The record is from RNAcentral.